This is an RNA transcript of Papaver somniferum (opium poppy), 1717 nucleotides long. It is a transcript of the gene named protein FAR1-RELATED SEQUENCE 5-like, with no coding region annotated. The transcript has 5 exons. The record is from RefSeq and is a predicted model, not a curated record. NCBI's taxonomy places the organism in Eukaryota, Viridiplantae, Streptophyta, Magnoliopsida, Ranunculales, Papaveraceae.
ACCCGUAUACAUUCUUCAAUUAAAUCAAUUCUAGGGCUUUCGCUCUGUGAUGUGAAAAAAUGAAUCCUUGCCGAAAUCUAUUAAGUGAGUUCGAUUGCAGCGAAGAUGUUACUGAUAACAAUCGGGAUCUAUCACCAGGCAAGAAUGAUGAGAUACAAAUUUCCAGUGAAGAAACAUUUACUGAUAUGAAAGAUAUAGAGAAUAUUAAUUCACUUGAUGGAGAAGAACUAAACGGUGAAGUAAUUGCAGCAAAUGGUGCGAAAGAACCAUCGGAAGAAGAACUAAAGGUUGUCCGCCCAUACGUCGGAAAAGAAUUUGAAUCUCAAGAUGAAGCAUAUGAUUUCUAUAACAGGUUUGCAGGUAAAACAGGAUUCAGUAUUCGUUGGCACUCUACCAAUAAGUCUAGGGUUGAUCCUUUUGAAGUGAUAGGGCGUACAUUUUGUUGUUCAUUUCAAGGAUUGAGAGACCGUAGAGCUAAGCCUGUUGAACAAAGGAAAAGGCAGCAAGCAGAUGUGAGGACAGAUUGCAAGGCAGUGAUGAUGAUAAAGAAGAGAAACGAUAGAUGGGUUGUGUCUGGUGUUGUAGAAGAACACAAUCAUAAACUUGUUUCCCCAAGUAAAAGGAACAAUCUCCGGUCAUUGAGAAAAAUAAAUAGUAGCCAAAAACAACAAAUCGUGAACUUUAGACUAGCAGGCGUUAAAACAAAUCAAUUGAUAAACUAUUUGGAAGUUGAGAAUGGUGGAGUGAAGAACAUUGGGUUUCUUCCAAAAGAUGCUAGAAAUUAUUUGAGUACAAGAAGGCAGUUGGAGCUAAAACAUGGAGAUGCUCAAGCUGUACUAGACUACUUCGAACGCCAGCAAAUGGAAAAUCCAUCAUUUUUUUAUAAAAUUCAAGUUGAUUCAGAAGGCCAAAUGACUAAUUCUUUUUGGGCAUAUGCUAAGUCAAGGAUAGACUAUUACUAUUUUGGAGACAUCGUUUGCUUUGAACCUACUUAUAGCACAAAUAGAUAUGACAUGCCAUUUGUUUCGAUAGUAGGAAUCAAUCAUCAUCAUCAAAUUGUUUUAUUUGGUGGCGCUCUCCUUUAUUCCGAAAGUGAAGACUCGCUUGAGUGGGUAAUGAAAACAUGGAUGAGGGCAAUGCACGGCAAAACACCAAAGGUUAUACUUACAGAUCAAGAAUCAGCUAUUGGGGGAGCGAUUGCAAGUGUUUUGCCAGCAAUUGCUUAUAUGGGUAAGAGACAGUUGAACAAUUUGAGCAUGGUUGGACAACGAUGCUUGAGAAUCACGAACUGCAGAACAAUAAGUGGUUGAUAAAGAAAAAUCGGAAAAGCAAAGAUUCUUUCAGAGAAAUAAACAGCCAACCCGAAUCUCUCCAUGUCCACACAGUCCAACAAGUUCGUGCAGCAAGUGGAAGCAUCAGCGUGCAACUAACAAGCAUGUCUCUAAGUUAGGCGCAAAGAUAAUUAUGUAUGGUCAUGAAGCAAUGAGUAGUUAGUUUUUCUUUUAGAUCAAAAAUUUUCGUUGAUAACAUUCAAAUCUACUCAAACUAAUUGUGCACAUUUGAAUUAGUUGGCAAGCAUUUUGGUUUAUUUUAUGAAAUACAUUUGCAUCUGUUAAAUUUGCAUACUCUAAUCAGAGCCAUUUGCAUACUCUAAUCAGAGCCAUGUACUGCUACUAAAAUUACUAAGAUUAAUGUCACCUGUGAGGCUGUGAUGGUA